RNAcentral lists this ribosomal RNA (477 nucleotides) under uncultured Wolbachia sp. RNAcentral describes it as "bacterial SSU rRNA". It matches the Rfam family "Bacterial small subunit ribosomal RNA", at positions 1 to 509 of the family's 1533-position model. The record is from RNAcentral. Lineage: Bacteria; Pseudomonadati; Pseudomonadota; Alphaproteobacteria; Rickettsiales; Anaplasmataceae.
AGAUAGAGUUUGAUCCUGGCUCAGAAUGAACGCUGGCGGCAGGCCUAACACAUGCAAGUCGAACGGAGUUAUAUUGUAGCUUGCUAUGGUAUNACUUAGUGGCAGACGGGUGAGUAAUGUAUAGGAAUCUACCUAGUAGUACGGAAUAAUUGUUGGAAACGGCAACUAAUACCGUAUACGCCCUACGGGGGAAAAAUUUAUUGCUAUUAGAUGAGCCUAUAUUAGAUUAGUUAGUUGGUGAGGUAAAGGCUUACCAAGACAAUGAUCUAUAGCUGAUCUGAGAGGAUGAUCAGCCACACUGGAACUGAGAUACGGUCCAGACUCCUACGGGAGGCAGCAGUGGGGAAUAUUGGACAAUGGGCGAAAGCCUGAUCCAGCCAUGCCGCAUGAGUGAAGAAGGCCUUCGGGUUGUAAAGCUCUUUUAGUGAGGAAGAUAAUGACGGUACUCACAGAAGAAGUCCUGGCUAACUCCGUGNC